This 460-nucleotide ribosomal RNA is filed under the name uncultured bacterium. RNAcentral's name for it is "partial 16S ribosomal RNA". It matches the Rfam family "Bacterial small subunit ribosomal RNA", at positions 338 to 795 of the family's 1533-position model. The record is from RNAcentral.
CCUACGGGCGGCUGCAGUGAGGAAUAUUGGUCAAUGGGCGCGAGCCUGAACCAGCCAAGUCGCGUGAAGGAUGACUGCCCUACGGGUUGUAAACUUCUUUUAUAAAGGACUAAAGUGAGGCACGUGUGCCUUUUUGUAUGUACUUUAUGAAUAAGGAUCGGCUAACUCCGUGCCAGCAGCCGCGUUAAUACGGAGGAUCCGAGCGUUAUCCGGAUUUAUUGGGUUUAAAGGUAGCGUAGAUGGGUUGUUAGGUCAGUUGUGAAAGUGUGCGGCUCAACCGUAAAAUUGCAAUUGAUACUGGCAGCCUUGAGUACAGAUGAGGUAGGCGGAAUGCGUGGUGUAGCGGUGAAAUGCUUAGAUAUCACGAAGAACUCCGAUUGCGAAGGCAGCUUACGAAACUGCCACUGACAUUGAUGCUCGAAAGUGUGGGUAUCAAACAGGAUUAGAUACCCCAGUAGUC